UAGCACUCCCACUGCUCUAUGUUACCUUAUUUCCUUCUCUCUUUACAAAGGAUUGUCUUGGGAUUAAGCCCCAAAGGAAAGAACACCAGCUUUACUGCAAAGCAAUUUGGCAGUAUGACAACUGAAGUACAAAGAUUUCAAGCAGUUUGGCAGUAAAGGCAGAGUAAGAGAAAAGGACAUGGUACAAUGUGAAGCUUAGUGAAUGGGACUUAGGUGAGAUACAUCCCUUUGUGAGCCAAAAUUUCUCCACCUGAAAGAGUCAUAGAGAAGAUGGUUUCUAAAUUG
Long non-coding RNA from Lutra lutra (Eurasian river otter), 285 nucleotides. RefSeq lists it as uncharacterized. The transcript has 3 exons. The record is from RefSeq and is a predicted model, not a curated record. Lineage: Eukaryota; Metazoa; Chordata; Mammalia; Carnivora; Mustelidae.